AGUAAUCUCUGCACCCAAUGUGGGGCUCAAACUCACAACCUGAAGAUCAAGAGUCGUAUGCCCCUCCAAGUGGGCCAGCUGGGCAACCCAAUAUUUGUGUCUUUGUAUAAAAAGAUUUUGCAACUGCUCAAUCUGCUCAAGAGACAGGAUGUAGCUUCUCCAUUAUCCACUCAUUGGAUUAUCUACUCCCUUCCUCCAUAAAAUGGGCCUCAGGCUCAGAGGCAGAAGUCACACAUUUUGCAGCAAGCCACGGGUUCUCACAUCAGGAGUGGAGGCAUCAGGACAACUUGGCAGCCAUGGAGGAAACUGUACCCACCUGUUCUCCAGACCAGCCCGUUCUGGGGAAGCUCAAAAGAAACAUGAUGGCCCGGACUUCAGAGAAGAAAAGACAAGUCCAUUUAGCUGAGUCCAAGCAGAGGGGUCGUGAAAGGGCUGCACUUCCUGUAAGGCGGACCAGCUGCAUUUUUGAGAGGCCGGUCACAAGGAUAACUUCUCAUCCUGGCAGUGAGACCAGGUGCAAUCAAUGGGACAGAACCUUGGAGAAGCCCCAGCAAAUCUGUGCAUACAGGAGACUGCAGGGCCUCCAGGCCUGCAGCAGCGAUGGGGAGACGUUAAGUACUUUGGACUUUACAAAUACCUUACAGGUAGUUGCGCUGGGUGGUGUGGGUGGUGCUGGGUCUCUACCUGGCAGACCUGAGUUCUGCACAGCGCCAUCUUCAGGUUGGGCGGGGACGGUCCCCGGGGUGGGUUUCUGUCCCCCACCACCCGUCUACAGACAACCGGUAACACUCGGAGAUAUCUGGAGACAGACUCAGAAAGUGAGAAAAGCAAGGGACAGGCUGGCUGAGGCCUUGGGGGCAGACAGGCUUGCCAGGGAGGCAGAGAGAGCCAGAAGCCAAGAGGGACAUUCUGACAACUAGAGGAAAAGUAGGAGAAGAUUGUGUGAAAGGGUCGAGUGGGGUGGCCCUGGGGAGGGUAUUCGUCAGUGAGGCACGUUCCACUUUCUGUGGCAUUGUCAACCCUGUUUCUCACUCCCUACCACAAUGCUUUGUUAGAGUAAGAUGACUCUUUAUUAAACUCUUUUGGGACACAAA
This is a long non-coding RNA of Felis catus (domestic cat), 1094 nucleotides long. RefSeq lists it as uncharacterized. Lineage: Eukaryota; Metazoa; Chordata; Mammalia; Carnivora; Felidae. The record is from RefSeq and is a predicted model, not a curated record. The transcript has 2 exons.